UUAGUAAGUUUUACAAUUACAACUAUUACAUUGGAUUAAUUUUCAAUCAUAUUGAUAAUUAAAUCCUAUUAUGAUUAAUAAUUACAAAUCAACCAUUCGAUCAGUCAAAAAUCUUUUUUAUGUAUGACCCCCAUAGGUUCUAUUAUGUCUGAUAGUGAGAUAUAUUAUGAUCCCUAUCACAAUAUUAUCGAAACUCUUUUCAAUGUGUUAGAACUAUUUCAACUCUACCCAUCAA
Molecule: long non-coding RNA, 235 nt
Filed under: Elaeis guineensis (African oil palm)
Lineage: Eukaryota; Viridiplantae; Streptophyta; Magnoliopsida; Arecales; Arecaceae
Description: long non-coding RNA (EGUI_LNC036902)
Source: RNAcentral